Molecule: unclassified non-coding RNA, 216 nt
Filed under: uncultured Agaricales
Lineage: Eukaryota; Fungi; Basidiomycota; Agaricomycetes; Agaricales
Description: sequence contains ITS1
Source: RNAcentral
UAGAAAUAAACCUGAACAGGCUGUUGCUAGUUCUUCUGUGCACGUCUGGUCAUCUUUAUUUUUUCCAACUGUGCACGUAUUGUAGACCUGAUGGUUCAUCUUAUCAUUGGGAUAGAUUGAGGACUGCUGUGCUUUCCUUUUGCAUCUCCAGGUCUAUGUUUUUUACAUUUUUACAAAUAUGUUUCAGAAUGUUGAGUACUGGGGAUAACAAAUAUA